UACGGAGGAGGCUAGCGUUAUUCGGAAUUACUGGGCGUAAAGCGCACGUAGGCGGCCGGUUAAGUCGGGGGUGAAAGCCCGGGGCUCAACCCCGGAACUGCCUUCGAUACUGACUGUCUGGAGGUCGACAGAGGUGAGGGGAAUUCCGAGUGUAGAGGUGAAAUUCGUAGAUAUUCGGAGGAACACCAGUGGCGAAGGCGGCUCACUGGCUCGUUACUGACGCUGAGGUGCGAAAGCGAGGGGAGCAAAUAGG
This 253-nucleotide ribosomal RNA is filed under the name uncultured bacterium. RNAcentral's name for it is "partial 16S ribosomal RNA". It matches the Rfam family "Bacterial small subunit ribosomal RNA", at positions 524 to 776 of the family's 1533-position model. The record is from RNAcentral.